Molecule: RNase P RNA, 330 nt
Filed under: Chloroflexi bacterium GWC2_73_18
Lineage: Bacteria; Bacillati; Chloroflexota
Description: RNase P RNA component class A
Rfam family: Bacterial RNase P class A
About the family: Ribonuclease P (RNase P) is a ubiquitous endoribonuclease, found in archaea, bacteria and eukarya as well as chloroplasts and mitochondria. Its best characterised activity is the generation of mature 5'-ends of tRNAs by cleaving the 5'-leader elements of precursor-tRNAs.
Source: RNAcentral
CGAGUCGGCCGGACGAUCGCGCGUCCCGCGGGGGGCGUGAGGAAAGUCCGAGCUCCACGACGCAGGGUAGCGGGUAACACCCGUCCGCCGCGAGGCGAGGACCAGCGCCACAGAGACGAGCCCGGCCUCGGCCGGGGUGAAACGGGCAAGCUCUACCCGGAGCAAGGCCAAAUAGGAGGGCGCAACCGCGGUUCGCCGCGGGGAUGAGGCGCGUCGCCCAGCCCUCGGGUUGGCCGCAGGAGCCGUCGGGUGACCGGCGGCCUCAGAUGGAUGAUCGUCGCCGCGACCUCGGUCCCGGCACAGAACUCGGCUUACAGGCCGGCUCGCCGG